This 576-nucleotide ribosomal RNA is filed under the name uncultured eukaryote. RNAcentral describes it as "bacterial SSU rRNA". It matches the Rfam family "Eukaryotic small subunit ribosomal RNA", at positions 174 to 754 of the family's 1831-position model. The record is from RNAcentral.
UAAAAACCCCGACUUCGGAAGGGGUGUAUUUAUUAGAUACAAAACCAAUGCCCUUCGGGGCUCUUUGGUGAUUCAUGAUAACUAUACGAAUCGCACGGCCUUGCGCCGGCGAUGGUUCAUUCAAAUUUCCUCCCUAUCAACUUUCGAUGUUUGGGUAUUGGCCAAACAUGGUUGCAACGGGUAACGGAGGGUUAGGGCUCGACCCCGGAGAAGGAGCCUGAGAAACGGCUACUACAUCCAAGGAAGGCAGCAGGCGCGCAAAUUACCCAAUCCCGACUCGGGGAGGUAGUGACAAUAAAUACUGAUACAGGGCCCUUUCGGGCCUUGUAAUUGGAAUGAGUACAAUUUAAAUCCCUUAACGAGGAACAAUUGGAGGGCAAGUCUGGUGCCAGCAGCCGCGGUAAUUCCAGCUCCAAUAGCGUAUAUUAAAGUUGUUGUGGUUAAAAAACUAAUAGUAGAACAUUGGGACUGGAAGGCCAGUCCGCCUCACAGAAGGAAUUGGGCAGGAUGGACCUUUCGAAGAGGGCAACAAAAAAAUUCACUGGAAGGUGGAGGGCAAGUAAGAAUUUAAGGAUA